RNAcentral lists this ribosomal RNA (402 nucleotides) under Verrucomicrobiota bacterium. RNAcentral's name for it is "Verrucomicrobia bacterium partial 16S ribosomal RNA". It matches the Rfam family "Bacterial small subunit ribosomal RNA", at positions 355 to 776 of the family's 1533-position model. The record is from RNAcentral. Lineage: Bacteria; Pseudomonadati; Verrucomicrobiota.
UGGGGAAUUUUGCACAAUGGGGGAAACCCUGAUGCAGCGACGCCGCGUGAUUUAGAAGGCCUUCGGGUUGUAAAAAUCUCUUGUAUGGGAAGAAAAUGACAGUACCAUACGAAUAAGGACCGGCUAAUUACGUGCCAGCAGCCGCGGUAAUACGUAAGGUCCGAGCGUUGUCCGGAAUCAUUGGGCGUAAAGGGUACGUAGGCGGAUAAGCAAGUUAGAAGUGAAAUCCUAUAGCUCAACUAUAGUAAGCUUUUAAAACUGCUCAUCUUGAGGUAUGGAAGGGAAAGUGGAAUUCCUAGUGUAGCGGUGAAAUGCGCAGAUAUUAGGGGGAAUACCGGUGGCGAAGGCGACUUUCUGGCCAUAUACUGACGCUGAGGUACGAAAGCGUGGGUAGCAAACAGG